CCUACGGGAGGCUGCAGUGGGGAAUAUUGCACAAUGGGCGCAAGCCUGAUGCAGCCAUGCCGCGUGUGUGAAGAAGGCCUUCGGGUUGUAAAGCACUUUCAGCGGGGAGGAAGGCGUUAAGGUUAAUAACCUUGUCGAUUGACGUUACCCGCAGAAGAAGCACCGGCUAACUCCGUGCCAGCAGCCGCGGUAAUACGGAGGGUGCAAGCGUUAAUCGGAAUUACUGGGCGUAAAGCGCACGCAGGCGGUCUGUCAAGUCGGAUGUGAAAUCCCCGGGCUCAACCUGGGAACUGCAUUCGAAACUGGCAGGCUAGAGUCUUGUAGAGGGGGGUAGAAUUCCAGGUGUAGCGGUGAAAUGCGUAGAGAUCUGGAGGAAUACCGGGGGCGAAGGCGGCCCCCUGGACAAAGACUGACGCUCAGGUGCGAAAGCGUGGGGAGCAAACAGGAUUAAUACCCGGGUAGUC
This 464-nucleotide ribosomal RNA is filed under the name uncultured Klebsiella sp. Its description in RNAcentral is "bacterial SSU rRNA". It matches the Rfam family "Bacterial small subunit ribosomal RNA", at positions 338 to 795 of the family's 1533-position model. The record is from RNAcentral. Lineage: Bacteria; Pseudomonadati; Pseudomonadota; Gammaproteobacteria; Enterobacterales; Enterobacteriaceae.